GCUUAUUGUGAGGAAACGUUCUUCGGCCAAUUACAUUCGGCUAAUAUUUACAUAUUGUGCUUUACGUGAAAUGCGUCAACAGAUUGAGAACGCAAACGACAGAAUCUACCAGUGCUGCAAAAAGUUGGGUAAAAAACCUACCCUAUCUCCAUCGCCUACUGCCAAAAAGACCAACAGCAUGCACAACCGGUAAAGUAAAUGUUACCAGUGGGAGUACAAGUAGAGGACAGGCAAGCCUAGUGGCUGUGCGGGGGUCUAUUAGAAGGACUGCUUCUCCCUGCUGUCCAGUCAUCCAAUGUUGAUGGGUGUAUCUCCAACCUGUCUGUACAGGACUUUGAAGCACAAGCUAUGGCAACUAUGAACAGUGAGUCCAGACCCAGUAUAGAGCACAGUCUGAGGCUGACGUCAACCUACUCCCACUACCUGACAGAGGACGGCAGGCCUGAGAUCACCACCUGGAGACUGCAUGAAUCAGGCCUUCAUUGUCGAAUUGCUGCAAAGAAACCACUACUAAAGGAAACCAAUAAGA
This is a long non-coding RNA of Salvelinus sp. IW2-2015, 529 nucleotides long. RefSeq lists it as uncharacterized. Lineage: Eukaryota; Metazoa; Chordata; Actinopteri; Salmoniformes; Salmonidae. The record is from RefSeq and is a predicted model, not a curated record.